Molecule: long non-coding RNA, 393 nt
Organism: Oncorhynchus tshawytscha (Chinook salmon)
Lineage: Eukaryota; Metazoa; Chordata; Actinopteri; Salmoniformes; Salmonidae
Source: Ensembl
UUAAUAUGUAGGUAUUCCCAUUCUUCAAUUCAACAAAUCAUGACACAGCCCUUUCUGGUUAAUAUGUAGGUAUUCCCAUUCUUCAAUUCAACAAAUCAUGGCACAGCCCUUUCUGGUUAAUAUGUAGGUAUUCCCAUUCUUCAAUUCAACAAAUCAUUAGACAGCCCUUUCUGGUUAAUAUGUAGGUAUUCCCAUUCUUCAAUUCAACAAAUCAUGACACAGCCCUUUCUGUUUAAUAUGUAGGUAUUCCCAUUCUUCAAUUCAACAAAUCAUUAGACAGCCCUUUCUGUUUAAUAUGUAGGUAUUCCCACUCUUCAAUUCAACAGUUGCUUUUAUUUGCUGUCAAAAUACUCAUAUCAAAAGAUGAAAAAUGCGUCACAUUGAUUCUUCAGU